AUAUUUUCGUCUGCACGAUUUUUUGUCAAACUACGUCAUACCGGAAGUGAAAGUUACAGCAACACUUGUGAAGGAAAAUGUUACCAGUGGCAGUGAAAACGCAUCUUGACCAUUUUCCAGAGUUAGAUAAGGAUAUAUAUGAUAGCAUCGUGGAGAAGAACGAAGAAAAGGUAAUUUCUUUACAGAUAGAGAUAUUUUAUUACCACCUUUCAAUAAUGUCAUGCAGAUAGAAUCCAUGUAUAACAGCUCGCCCCAUUGGAAGUCGCCCCACUUUUUCACCAACUCGUCUAGUCCGAGAUUACUACUCGUCCAACCUUCUAACACAUCGCCCCUCUCUUGCACACCAACUCGCCCCAUAAAGAGUGGAAAAUGCGAUUGCAAAUAGUUCUGACAACUCAUUAAACAAUGUUAAAUGGGUUACGUAAGGUUCAUCACCAACGGACAAAAGUGGCUGUAUUCACACUGUUUUACACCUCAAAAACUCUUCUGUGUACAGACUUAUCUGUGCAGUUUGAAAGGUUUUAUGGCCUUGCAUCCAUAAUUUAGAUAUUAAAAAGUUAAAUGCAUUUUGUGUUUCAGAAAGAUAUAAAAAGUGAUAUGGCAUGACUGAGACUAUAUAGUAGUCUCAGGGCAUGGUAUGAGACCAAAUGGCGCUAAAUAAGAAAGUAUAGGUCACUGUCAGUGGCGGAUCCAGGAAAUUUCAUAAGUGGGGGCCCACUGACUGACCUAAGAGGGGGCCUGCUCCAGUCACGCUUCAGUGAUUCCCUAUAUAAGCAACCAAAUUUUCUCCAAAAAAGGGGGCCCGGGCCCCCCCUAAAUCCGCCUCUGACUGUCAGGCCUUCAACAAUACACCUUAUCGCUUAUCCCGGCUGACCUGGCGGCUUGAACUUUUGACGCAUACAACAAUCACUUUUCCAUUGUGGCGUCAGAUAUUAUGUUUUAUGACGUCAAAAUAUUAUGGGAAUCUGUGUGAUAUCCAGUAAUGGCGGACAAAUAGCGUUAAGGUGUUUGAGGACCUGUGUUCAAGUUUGGUUGCUUCUGCAGGCUUCAAAUUGAUUUAUUUGUGCUAUUAACCAUGAUUUAUAGGUUCCUCGAUCCUGUAAGACCCUUUAAAAAAAAUUGAUGUUUUCAUCUCAAAAUUUACUAUCAGUAAUACAUUGUACAAGCUAUAAAAAAGAAGAUUGAUUGAUUGCAAUGAGACAACUGUCCGCAAGAGUCCAAAAUGACACAGACAUUAACUUCUAAAGGUCACCUAUUAAUCUGGAAAACUCUUAAGGCAUAUUACAUGUAUUACAUGCCAUACAUGCAUGGAAUAGAUAUAUAUAUGUAUGUUGUGUACAAGAUGUAAGUUUGUACAAAUUAUAAUUUGUACAGGGUUUUUGUACAAGUUAUAAGAUUUUUGACACCUACCUUCUUGCAACAGGUGAUACAGGUUUAACUUAUACAAUGUACCAGUGUAAUGUUUUAAAUUCAAAAAAAAUAUACGUCAACCUAACAUUUAGUGCUAUUCUCCUUGCCUUCAAACUGGAAAUGAGGAUACCUGAAUGGUUUAAAUUCUAAUUUUAUUUUUUUCCUUAUACCAUAUUCAUAUCUAUACAAAAUCUUUGUGAGGUCUUAUAAUGUUUUUGUAUCAAUGCUCAGUAUUAGAGUGUAUCAUGAAGUUGUGAAAAAUUGACAGAAAUAUGCGGAGCAAAAGACUGUGCUUGCAUCAUCCAUUUUUGUUCAGCAGGUCAUAAAACACUGAUAACUUGUACAAAAAUUCUGUACAAAUUGUAAUUUGUACAACAUUACAACUUGUACACAACAUAUAUAUAAAUAAAAUUAAAUGUGUAUUUUAUUUUUUAGAAAAUUAAAAAACUUAAACCCAGCAAUUUUAGCCCCCCUUUUUUUUACAGUGCUGCAACAUAUUAGGUUACUGUUAAUGCAUAGAAUAUUUUACAUGUUCUACUCUAACAUGUCCAAACAUUGCCUAGUUUCGUGGGCCUCAGGACCCUCUUUUUGGAAAAUCCUGGAUCUGCAUCUUGAAUAUAUACAUGUAUACUUUAAAUACAUGUAAGUUUUAAAUACAUGCAAGUUGACAUCUUGUGGUUAAACAUGAUAUCAUUUGAUGCUGAUAUGUUAUUGGAAGUAUGUAAUAUAUACUUUAAUAAAGAAUUUUUCUUAAAAAUAGUUGUUUAAAAUUCAAAAAUACAAUUAAGUUUCCUAGAAUCCGGGUCUGUUCAUGCCCAAUCACCUUUGUGCCCACUCAUGUUCGCCCUCUUUCGCAUUCGCACCCUACAUGUUGUCGCCCCUUUUUUUUUUGGUUUUGUGUUUUUAUUUGUUAUUGAGUUUUGGUAAACGUGGUAAAUGUAUUGCUAUAAACAUACCUUUUUUCAUAGUUUCCAAAUAAAGUGAGAUUCUGAUAAAAAAAAUUGUGUCAUGGUAUUUUAAAUUUAUUGCUUUAAACAUGAUAAACAUUUGGUUUUUUUUUUACAUUUAUAAUUAACAUUUAAUAAUUAUGACAUCAAAUUAAUUUUAAAAAAUCUUUAUUAUAAUUCCUCACAUUUUAUUUAAGAAAAUAUGAUUAUUUGGUAUAAACAUAUAGCUGAAAUGAGAAUAAAAAUUGGGCGUGAACGUGUAGGGUGCGAACAGACUUCGGGGGCGAACAUGUGAGGUGCGAACGUGAAGGAUGCGAACAGACCUGAUACCAGUUUCCUUGCUGAACAAAAAUCAACCUACAUUUGUAAUCAAUGAACAUGAUUGGAAAAUAUUUGCGACAGAUAAAUUCAUUAUAAAUGAUAAUUGAUUUUACUUAUUAAUAGGAAUAAUUAAAGGAAUUAUAGAAGGGAACACACAACUAUUAUUUUAAUAUUUCAUUUCUACUAGGAUUCACAAGAAAUGAAACAUUUGGCAAAUUGCACCAGGACUGGAAAGGCUAAAGGAGUAAAAUGAAGUACACAAGAAAUAAGAAUUUAGACAUGUGCUGCAGCUAGAAACAGAUAUGUAAGUAUUUAUAAAUAAAAAUUAUCAGUGUUCCCAACAUGCCCAAAGUUGGGAUUGGGGUGAACAAUGGUGAAGGUUUACUGCUUAUCCUGCUACAUUUUUGUACCUUAAAUAAAUGUUAAGAAGAAAAAUUGCUUACUCUUUAUGUUAAUAACUGUAUAAUAAAUUUGCUGUUAAUAAAGAAUCUUGAUUUUGUAAUUUGCUUCUAAUUAGUCCCCUACCAAUGAAGUUGAUGUGGAAUUAAGUUUGCACUCCGUCUGUCUGUCAAUUCUCAGUCAGGCAAAUCAGUUUUCCACACUUUUUUCUUCCUUCUUGAAGAUAUUGAUUUAAUGUUAGUUAUAAAGUUGUAUCAUGACACAAGUUAUAGAUCAAGUUUGAAUGGUAUUUUGGUCUGAUGAUUAUGUCCAGAGUUAUGGUCCAAAAAAAAUUUGAUAUCUAUAACAUUAUUAGUUUGGGUGAAAAUACCAUGAUUACCAAACAAUGUUGGGACAUUUUUUCUGACGUACAUUGUAUGUUUUUCUAUAUAGAAUGCUUUAUAAUAUUUGUGCAUUUUAGCUGGAUUUACUAUAUUGGAAAUACAAUUCAGUACCAAUUAAAAUGUACUUAUUUAUGCAUUACUACUAUAUGACAUGUACAACAAACUACAAUAUAUAUACAUGUAUAUGUAUAGCAAUUGCAAAAUUUCUUCUGAACUAACUAAUUCAGUAAAGUGAAUGAGUUCCAGCUGGCAAAAACAUGUAGUACAUGUCAUGUAUGCACUGGAAGUUGGUAUCCCUGAGAUUAAUAAAAUAGUUUUUGUACAUGUACACAAAAUAUAUAUUUUAUUGUGAAAGAAAUGAAACUUUUCUGCAGAAUAGUAUCCUCUUGGUCAAAGUACAUGUAUAUGUAUUUAUAAUAAACAUUAAUAAGUAAUGCAACAUAUUAGUAUGCAUGAUCACAUGAAUGAGAAAUCAUAUAUUUUUUUUUUUCAGGGGAACAUUUUGCAUAUAAAAUCCAGAGAAUGAAUCAAUGGCAAUUGGACAUAUCUUAUUUACUAGAAAGUGUUUCCUGGCAUGCCUGAGGAACAAGCCUGUGUGUUUAAGGUAUAAAGACUUAACAAUUAACAUAUAUAUCUAAAUGGAUAUACAUGCCCCUUGGAAACAAUCAUUAUAUGGAAAACUGCCUUACACAUGUUACAAGUGCACUAAUGUGUACAAUUCUUACCAGAUUUUUGUCGAGCCUGCAACUUUUGUCGCAGAAAGCUGGACAUAGUGAUAGUGAUACAGUGCCCUGGUGUUGGCAGCGGCAGCUAACUCUCAAAAGCUUCAUAUUUUAGAGGGUUGAAGACUUGGAUGCAUCAUACUUUGUAUAUAGAUGCCUCAUGUUAUGAAGUUUCCAUCAGUCACAUGUCCAAUGUCUUUGACCUCAUUUUCUUGUAUAUUCAGUGUAUGGAAGGACUGUAAGGUGUACAUGUCCAACUGGCAGGUGUCAUGUGACCUUGACCUAAUUUUUAUGGUUCAGCUGUAAUAGUUAAGUUUUUGUGUUUUGGUCUGUUUUUCUUAUACUGUAUGCAAUAGGUCUACUAUAAUUGGUGUAUGGAAUGAUGAUAAGGUGUACAUGUCUAGCUGGUAGGUGUCAUCUGACCUUGACCUCAUUUUUAUGGUUCAGUGGUCAAAGGUAAAUUUUUAAGUUUUGGUCUUUUUAAAAACUAUAUGGUCAACUUUUUUAUAGCUUUUUGUUCGGUGUGAGCCAAGGCUCCGUGUUGAUGGCUGUACAUUGACCUAUAAUGGUUUACUUUUAUAAAUUGUUAUUUGGAUGGAGAGUUGUCUCAUUGGCACUCACGCCACAUACUCCUAUAUCUAAUAAUUAUUUGGUGUAUGGAAAUAUUGUAUGAACUAUAUGUUAGUCACACAGGUUUUAUUUGACCUUGACCUCAAUUGGUAAAUGUUAAGUUUAUGUCAUUGUGACAGUUAUAUUUAGGACCAUCAACAUAAUAUCAAUGAUUAGUAAAGAAGUAGAGACAUUUCAGUGUGUGCACUCUUGUUAUGAAAUUUAUGUUAAGUUUUAUGUCAUCAAUAUUUUAGACAAGUUUGAAAAUCAUUGCAGAACAAAUAUUUUUAAAAGAAUUGUUUCCUUGAAUGUCCCAAAUAUAAAAAAAGAAGAUGUGGUAUGAUUGCCAAUGAGACAACUCUCCACAAGAGACCAAAUGACAAAGAAAUUAACAACUAUCAUCUGACAUGAUCAUGACUAUAGUUAAUCGUACAACCUUCAACAAUGAGCAAAGCCCAUACCAUACAGUCAGCUAUAAAAGGCCGUGAAAUGACAAAUGUAAAACAUUUCAAACAAGAAAACAAACCACCUAAUCUUAAGUACAAAAAAAUUAACGAAAAAAAAUAAUAUGUAACACAUCAACAAACAUUAACAACUGAAUAACAGGCUCCUGACAGGCACAUUUGUACAGAAUGUGUGGGGGUGGGGUUCAACAUGUAAGCGAGAUCCAAACCCUCCCUCUAACUUGGGACAGUGGUGUGAAAGUACAACAUAAGAAUAAACUAUAAAAAUCAGUUGAAAAAGGCUUAACUCAUCAAAUGAUACAAAUAGAAAUACAACACAGAGUAGACAUGGCUGGGUACUUGUUUAUUUAUCCCAACAACAAAAAGACAGCUAAGUGCAGAUCUGAGAGUACUCACAGCUACUGGCAGCUAGUUUUAAAGCCACUAUCAUCUAAUAAAAAAAUCUCGAUCUUGGACUAAAUUAUCAAUCAGUACACAUCCAACAUCCAAUGGAUUUAGUGUAAAGAAGUCAUUUAAACAGUCAGAGGAAAACAUGACUGUAUAAUGCCAAGAUACAGGUUUAGACAGAUUAUAGAUCUUUGAAUCUGUAUAUGUAUAUAACAGUAAUAUUUAGUUUGCUUUUAAUUUUCUGAUAACAAAAUCAAUAUUAAUACCAGGAAAAACAAUAUUCAAUGAUCAAAAUUGGUUUCCAAUCUCUAACUUUAGUUUUGAAUAACUUGACCAAAUGUUAUAAAAACAUAUACAAAAUGCUUAAUAGCACAAAACGUGUGUCAAGAUUGAAUUUUGGUGGCGUCAUUUUAAUCGUUUUAGAGUUAUGCUCCUUUACAAAUGGAAAACUGCUGAAUUUUCAGUUUUCUGUUUUCUAACUUAAGUUAGCCUCAACCAAAAGUAAUGAAACUUAUACACAAUUCUUAUUACCGCAAAAAAAAGAGCAAGAUUGAAUUUGGGUGGUGUCACUUUUAAUAAAAAUGUUUUCUGAUUUUUUUUUUACAUAAAUUAGACUGUUGUUUUACCCUUUUGAAUGGUUUUACACUAGUCAUUUUGGGGGCCCUUUAUAGCCUACUGUUCUGUGGGAGCUAAGGCUCUAUGUUGAAACCCAUACUUUGACCAAUAAUGUUUUUUUCUUUUUCAAAUUGUGACUUGGAGUGAGAGUUGUCUCAUUUGCACUCAUACCACAUCUUCUUGUAAUAUAUCUUUUAUCCUUCCCUUUAAAAAAAAUGGAAAAAAUUGCUGAGUUUUUCCUUUUAGUUCACUACCUUGAGUUUGCCUUCGCAAAAUGGUAUGAAACUUAUACACCAUACUUUUUACCACAAAACUCUGAUCAAAUACAAAUUUGGGGAGCAUCACAUUUACAUGUUCUUCAGUUAUGUCCCUUUAUAACUUUAUAUGAUAUUUGUGUCACAUGAACACAUUCACCAUUCAUUGAAUUAUUGCCUUUGUGUUUAAUAGAUAAGAUAUGUGCAACAUGGGGGACAUUUGAACUCAUUUUAUUGAGUUAUUGCCCUUGUAUUUAAUAGAUAAGAUAUGUGCAACAUGGGGGACAUUUGAACUCAUUUUAUUGAGUUAUUGCCCUUGUAUUUAAUAGAUAAGAUAUGUGCAACAUGGGGGACAUUUGAACUCAUUUUAUUGAGUUAUUGCCCUUGUAUUUAAUAGAUAAGAUAUGUGCAAUUCUGUUCUUUUAUUGAUUUUCAAUUUUGCUUUAGUUCAGUUAUGCAAAGAUACUACAGUGUAAUACUAUAUGUUGGAAUUCAUAUCAAGAACAGAUAAUACACCUAUGAGUAGAUACUGUUGUGAAUUUUUAGCUCACCUGGCCCGAAGGGCCAAGUGAGCUUUUCCCAUCACUUGGCGUCCGUCGUCGUUGUCCUUCGUCGUUGUCCAUCGUCGUUAGCUUUUACAAAAAUCUUCUCCUCUGAAACUACUGGGCCAAAUUAAACCAAACUUGGCCACAAUCAUUAUUGGGGUAUCUAGUUUAAAAAUGUGUGGCAUGACCCGGUCAACCAACCAAGAUGGCCGCCACGGCUAAAAAUAGAACAUAGGGGGAAAAUGUAGUUUUUGGCUUAUAACUCAAAAACCAAAGCAUUUAGAGCAAAUCUGACAUGGGGUAUAAUUGUUUAUCAGGUCAAGAUCUAUCUGCCCUGAAAUUUUCAGACGAAUCAGACAACCCUUUGUUGGGUUGCUGCCCCUGAAUUUGUAAUUUUAAGGAAAUUUUGCUGUUUUUGGUUAUUAUCUUGAAUAUUUUUAUAGAUAGAGAUAAACUGUAACCAGCAAUAAUGUUCAGCGAAGUAAGAUUUACAAAUAAGUCAACAUGACCGAAAUGGUCAGUUGACCCCUUUACGAGUUAUUGCCCUUUAUAGUCAAUUUAUAACCAUUUUUCGUAAAUCUUAGUUAUCUUUUACAAAAGUCUUCUCCUCUGAAACUACUGGUCCAAAUUAAUCCAAACUUGGCAACAAUCAUCUUUGGGGUAUCUAGUUUAUAAAAUGUGUCCGGUGACCUGGCCAUCAAAUCAAGAUGGCCACCACAGCUAAAAAUAGAACAUAGGGGUAAAAUGCAGUUUUUUGACUUAUAACUCAAAAACCAAAGCAUUAAGAGCAAAUCUGACAUGGGGGUAUAAUUGUUUAUCAGAUCAAGAUCUAUCUGCCCUGUAAUUUUCAGAUGAAUCUGACAACCCUUUGUUGGGUUGCUGCCCCUGAAUCGGUAAUUUUAAGGAAAUUUUGCUGUUUUUGGUUGUUAUCUUGAAUAUUAUUAUAGAUAAAGAUAAAUUGUACCCAGCAAUCAUGUUCAGCAAAGUAAGAUUUACAAAUAAGUCAACAUGACCGAAAUGGUCAAUUGACCCCCUAAGGAGUUAUUGUCCUUUAUAGUCAAUUUUUAUAAAAUUUUUAUAAAAUUUGUAAAUUUUUAUUAACAUUUCCACUGAAACUACUGGGCCAAGUUCAUUAUAGAUAGAAAUAAUUGUAAGCAGCAAGACUGUUUAGUAAAGUAAGAUUUACAAACACAUCACUAUCACCAAAACACAACUUUGUCAUGAAUCCAUCUGCUUCCUUUGUUUAAUAUUCACAUAGACCAAGGUGAGCGACACAGGCUCUUUAGAGCCUCUAGUUUUUAAAGCUGAAAUUAUCAAUAAACAAACUCAUAAAUGCCAUGUAAAUUAAUAUUUUAUUUCAAUCUAUAUUUACAGAUAAGAAAACAACUUCAGCAUGCAAGAAAGAAGAUACAUAGUUUGGAAUCAAAUAUUUGACAUUAAUUCAAUUCAUUUUUGUUGCUUAUACAAUUCUAUUUAUUUGAAAAUUAAAGUUGACUAAAACAUAACUGAAAUAUUUGUCAUCUGUGAAUAUUUGUGAGGGGAGAGAAACAUUUAUUUUGGAAGGUAUAUGGCUUUGAAAACAGAUAUUACAACUAAAGUCAUGGAAGUGUUCAUAUUUUUUCGAUAAAGAUCAAUACUAGUUUAAAUGCAUGAACCACUGUAUCAGGUUGGGGUGAAGGUUGGUGCCAGAUAAAACGUUUAAACCCAGUGCAUUUGUUUGCACCUUCCCUAUGUCAAGAACCUGAUGUUCAGUGGGCUUAUUAUGUGUUUAAUAAUUGUUUCUCAAUUUUUAUAUACAUGUAUCUUAGACCAUUGGUUUUCCUGUCUGAAAGAGGUUAGACUGGAAAUUUUUGAGGCCCUUUAUUGCCUGCUGACUGUUUGGUGUGAGGUUAGGCUCUGUUGAAGGCUGUACUUUGAC
RNAcentral lists this long non-coding RNA (8974 nucleotides) under Mytilus galloprovincialis (Mediterranean mussel). Lineage: Eukaryota; Metazoa; Mollusca; Bivalvia; Mytilida; Mytilidae. The record is from RNAcentral.